This 498-nucleotide ribosomal RNA is filed under the name uncultured bacterium. RNAcentral's name for it is "partial 16S ribosomal RNA". It matches the Rfam family "Bacterial small subunit ribosomal RNA", at positions 30 to 523 of the family's 1533-position model. The record is from RNAcentral.
AUUGAACGCUGGCGGCAUGCCUUACACAUGCAAGUCGAACGGUAACAGGUCUUCGGAUACUGACGAGUGGCGAACGGGUGAGUAAUACAUCGGAACGUGCCUAGUAGUGGGGGAUAACUACUCGAAAGAGUGGCUAAUACCGCAUGAGAUCUACGGAUGAAAGCAGGGGAUCGCAAGACCUUGUGCUACUAGCGCGGCCGAUGGCAGAUUAGGUAGUUGGUGGGAUAAAAGCUUACAAAGCCGAAGAUCUGUAGCUGGUCUGAGAGGACGAUCAGCCACACUGGGACUGAGACACGGCCCAGACUCCUACGGGAGGCAGCAGUGGGGAAUUUUGGACAAUGGGCGCAAGCCUGAUCCAGCAAUGCCGCGUGCAGGAUGAAGGCCUACGGGUUGUAAACUGCUUUUGUACGGAACGAAAAGCCCUGGGUUAAUACCCUGGGGUCAUGACGGUACCGUAAGAAUAAGCACCGGCUAACUACGUGCCAGCCGCCGCGGUAA